This 450-nucleotide ribosomal RNA is filed under the name uncultured Fibrobacter sp. RNAcentral's name for it is "partial 16S ribosomal RNA". It matches the Rfam family "Bacterial small subunit ribosomal RNA", at positions 341 to 792 of the family's 1533-position model. The record is from RNAcentral. Lineage: Bacteria; Pseudomonadati; Fibrobacterota; Fibrobacteria; Fibrobacterales; Fibrobacteraceae.
ACGGGAGGCAGCAGUAGGGAAUAUUGCACAAUGGGGGAAACCCUGAUGCAGCAACGCCACGUGUGGGAAGACGCAUUUCGGUGUGUAAACCACUGUCGUGAGGGAAUAAGGCUGAGUUUCGGCUCAGUUGAAUGUACCUCGAAAGGAAGCACCGGCAAACUUCGUGCCAGCAGCCGCGGUAAUACGAGGGGUGCAAGCGUUGUUCGGAAUCACUGGGCGUAAAGGGAGCGCAGGCGGAGAUGUAAGCCAGCCGUCAAAUCGUGGUGCUCAACGCCAUCCAGCGGUUGGAACUGCAUCCCUUGAGUGCACUAGAGGAAGGUGGAAUUCGUAGUGUAGCGGUGAAAUGCAUAGAUAUCACGAAGAACUCCGAUUGCGAAGGCAGCCUUCUGGGGUGUUACUGACGCUCAUGCUCGAAGGUGCGGGUAUCAAACAGGAUUAGAUACCCUGGUA